Molecule: ribosomal RNA, 253 nt
Filed under: uncultured bacterium
Lineage: Bacteria
Description: partial 16S ribosomal RNA
Rfam family: Bacterial small subunit ribosomal RNA
Source: RNAcentral
UACAGAGGUCCCAAGCGUUGUUCGGAUUCACUGGGCGUAAAGGGUGCGUAGGCGGUCGGGUAAGUCUGGCGUGAAAUCUCCAAGCCUAACUUGGAAACUGCGUUGGAUACUAUCCGGCUCGAGGAAUGGAGGGGAGACUGGAAUACUUGGUGUAGCAGUGAAAUGCGUAGAUAUCAAGUGGAACACCAGUGGCGAAGGCGAGUCUCUGGACAUUUCCUGACGCUGAGGCACGAAAGCCAGGGGAGCAAACGGG